ACGAGAGAGAGAGAGAGAGCUGGGAGCUCUGACCCGGACGCCACAGCGACCCGAGAAGGAACCCGACCAGAGGGACGCUGUCCGGCCACCCCACGACGGCGCGCGGCCACCAACAGCUUUGUCUCGUCGUUGCCUACCUCCCUACGUCCUCAGAUCGUCCAUGCACUGACGGUGAACGGAGCAGCAACGACGGGAAGCCUCGAGCUUUCUCCGGCCACCUCUGCAACUUCCGGGGACCGAUUAAGCUGCGUCUGCCACGGCUCUGCCGUAUUCUUCAUUACCGGCCACGUUUUCAGCUCUUCUGGGCUUCGUCUAGGCUUCAUUGCAUCUGUAGAAGAAAACCGAUCACGAAUUGUUGGGAUGAUUGCAUCGAAACCAUCUGCUCCUCACUAGUCGAGUUCCGGCAGUGAGUUUGGCCCCGUUGCAGUCGAUUACCGAAGAAUUUAGGACUCCAAUUACCCGAGGAACGGAAGGUUUGUGACUCUCGGAAUACGUGAGAGAAAGCAUCGAAAUCCAGGUAGGAAUUCAGGACUCUCCUCGGUUAGUGAUUUUCUUAUGUUGUUAUUAAAUGAUGCAUGUUAGUUGGUAUGGUUUGGUUAUGUUCAAAUGCAAUGCAUACUAACCAAACCAUGUGACAAAUGUGAUGGCUUGAGAGCGAAGGGUAGCUCUGACUUCCUUGGGUUCGAUCCCCAAAACCUUCGGAGGGUUAGUUACACCGGUCGGACGGUGAGCGAUCGCAAUGACGACCCGAUCCGUGUGUGUAGCUAGGUAGCGGACGCUCUCGCUACGCUUACCUGGUGAUAAAUUAAUUUGAGGUAAGGUCGUGUAGUGGGUCUAUGGGACCGGCCAUCAGGUAAUAUUUGGAUUUGGUGCCGUAUUUAUUUAAGCAUCAUGCAUCAGUUUUCAAGUUGAAAAACAUUAAAGUUUGUCGUUCCUUUAAAAUAUUUGGUUUAAGCAUGUUUUCAUACUGGGAUCCCAAAUAUAUAUUUAGUGGUUUCAAACCUAGUCGUGGUAGAGUUCCUGUAAGAGCAGCGAGGACGAAAGCUCACCCCUACAACAGUGUGGAUGCAGGUACUGUGCACUGGUGACGGGACAAUAGCGGACGGAGCUGGGUGUGCGGAACAAGUUCGGUAAAUUCUGUCUUUUAGACAUUGUUCUAAAUUCUAUUUCUCGAACUUCGUAUUCCGAGACUUAUUGAUAGUUAGCCUUGUGUCAAUUUUGGUUGAGUUCUCAUUUCCUUGAAGUUCGUACCUCGUGUGUGAGAAUUCAUUUCAAGUUCUAGACGAAUGAAAUAAAUUUUAGCAACUCAAGGAUUUUCACCUCAAAAAUAUUUGUAGCUUCCGCUGUGUUUAUACGAAAAGUUUUCAAACAAAAUGCUUAGCGGUUCUCUAGAAUGUAAAUCGAGCGUUCGGUUUAUGUUUUAGAGGCUCGCGGCACUGUGACGUGCUUAAGCUGGUGAGGUGCAGCUUGGGGCGUUACAUAUGGUUUCUUUUUACGCCAAGUUAAUGAAUCUCCUGGAGUACCACAAUUGAGUGUAUUGACGAUGGGAGAUUCAAGAUAGUUUUCUUUGUGUACGCUGAGAUUUGUAGUUGUGUAGGCUCAGAAAAUUCAAAUGAGCAUCA
Molecule: long non-coding RNA, 1622 nt
Organism: Rosa rugosa (rugosa rose)
Lineage: Eukaryota; Viridiplantae; Streptophyta; Magnoliopsida; Rosales; Rosaceae
Exons: 3
Source: RefSeq, a predicted model, not a curated record